This 209-nucleotide non-coding RNA is filed under the name Bacillus sp. (in: firmicutes). RNAcentral describes it as "Bacillus sp. T-box sequence". It matches the Rfam family "T-box leader". From Rfam's summary of the family: Uncharged tRNA acts as the effector for transcription antitermination of genes in the T-box leader family. T-boxes are found upstream of many aminoacyl-tRNA synthetase genes and some amino acid biosynthetic genes usually in Gram-positive bacteria. The record is from RNAcentral. Lineage: Bacteria; Bacillati; Bacillota; Bacilli; Caryophanales; Bacillaceae.
AGAGAUGCGUUGAGGAAGACAUGAAAAGAGCGUGGCUGAUACAGAGAGCUGAUGGUUGGUGCAAAUCAGUGAGGCCUUCUUUGAUAGCCCUUCUAAGCAGACACAUUGAAACGAGUAGAUGUGAUCCGGUUUAUUUCCGUUAUAAAUACAAGUGAUUUGCAUAACAUGCAUUUAAACGAGGGUGGUACCGCGAGUAACUCGCCCCUCAC